RNAcentral lists this transfer RNA (76 nucleotides) under Clostridia bacterium. RNAcentral's name for it is "tRNA-Lys". It matches the Rfam family "tRNA". From Rfam's summary of the family: Transfer RNA (tRNA) molecules are approximately 80 nucleotides in length. Their secondary structure includes four short double-helical elements and three loops (D, anti-codon, and T loops). Further hydrogen bonds mediate the characteristic L-shaped molecular structure. tRNAs have two regions of fundamental functional importance: the anti-codon, which is responsible for specific mRNA codon recognition, and the 3' end, to which the tRNAs corresponding amino acid is attached (by aminoacyl-tRNA synthetases). tRNAs cope with the degeneracy of the genetic code in two manners: having more than one tRNA (with a specific anti-codon) for a particular amino acid; and 'wobble' base-pairing, i.e. permitting non-standard base-pairing at the 3rd anti-codon position. The record is from RNAcentral. Lineage: Bacteria; Bacillati; Bacillota; Clostridia.
GGCCCAUUAGCUCAGAUGGUAGAGCACUUGACUUUUAAUCAAGGUGUCCCGGGUUCGAAUCCCGGAUGGACCACCA